This 301-nucleotide ribosomal RNA is filed under the name uncultured bacterium. RNAcentral describes it as "partial 16S ribosomal RNA". It matches the Rfam family "Bacterial small subunit ribosomal RNA", at positions 509 to 807 of the family's 1533-position model. The record is from RNAcentral.
CAGCCGCCGCGGUAAUACGGAGGGGGCUAGCGUUGUUCGGAAUUACUGGGCGUAAAGCGUACGUAGGCGGUUUUGUAAGUUAGAGGUGAAAGCCCGGAGCUCAACUCCGGAAUUGCCUUUAAGACUGCAUCACUUGAACGUCGGAGAGGUGAGUGGAAUUCCGAGUGUAGAGGUGAAAUUCGUAGAUAUCGGAAGGAACACCAGUGGCGAAAGCGACUUCCUGGUCGAAUACUGACGUUCAUGUGCGAAAGCGUGGGGAGCAAACAGGAUUAGAUACCCCCGUAGUCCCUGUCUCUUAUAC